This 408-nucleotide ribosomal RNA is filed under the name uncultured bacterium. Its description in RNAcentral is "SSU rRNA". It matches the Rfam family "Bacterial small subunit ribosomal RNA", at positions 1 to 413 of the family's 1533-position model. The record is from RNAcentral.
GGCUUAGAGUUUGAUCCUGGCUCAGAUUGAACGCUGGCGGUAUGCUUAACACAUGCAAGUCGAACGAUGAGAAAGAGCUUGCUCUUUCGAUUAGUGGCGGACGGGUGCGUAACGCGUAGGAAUCUGCCUAUUAGUGGGGGACAACUUAGGGAAACUUAAGCUAAUACCGCAUGCGCCCUACGGGGGAAAGGAGGGGAUCGCAAGACCUUUCGCUAAUAGAUGAGCCUGCGUAGGAUUAGCUUGUUGGUAGGGUAACGGCCUACCAAGGCUACGAUGUCUAGGGGUUCUGAGAGGAAGGUCCCCCACACUGGUACUGAGACACGGACCAGACUCCUACGGGAGGCAGCAGUGAGGAAUAUUGGUCAAUGGGCGUAAGCCUGAACCAGCCAUCCCGCGUGCAGGAAGACG